Long non-coding RNA from Callithrix jacchus (white-tufted-ear marmoset), 1738 nucleotides. The record is from Ensembl. NCBI's taxonomy places the organism in Eukaryota, Metazoa, Chordata, Mammalia, Primates, Cebidae.
CCCCUUUUGCUUGGCACUUCUCCUUCCUGCAUCAUGUGAAGAAGGAUGUAUUUGCUUCCCCUUCUACCAUGACUGUAAGUUUCCUGAGGGCUCCCCAACCAUAAAGAACGACAGAGGCAUUUUAAUCACGAUGAUGCUUAAAUCAUGUUAUCUGCCAUAUCAUGUGAUUCGGAAGAAUUCUAAACGCCCUGUGCAAGUCUGAAAUCCAGCCCUGCUGACUAGUGUCCUUAUAAGAAGAGAAAACUGAACACACAGACAGCCUGGAGUGCACACACACAGAAGAAAGACCAUAUGAGGACACAGUGAAGAUGGCCAUCUGCCAGCAAAUGAAAGAGGUCUCAGAAGAAACAACACUGCCAACAAUUUGAUCUUGGACUUCCAGCCUCUGAAACUGUGGCCAUUCCUGCCCAGAAAACAGACAGUUUUCAAGAGAAAAAAGGGAGAAAAAGACUACAGAAAAUUACGUUACUGGGGUUUUGAGAAACUGACCCAGUGGAAUAAAAAUGAGAAGAAAAUGUUGAAGCAAGUUAGGUUCCAAUAGGAGGCACUGACAGAUCUGAGACUGGAGGAGAGAUGAAGCUCAAGGUACUUCUGCUCUACUUCCUCCCUCUCUCACGGCAUUAUCAUUGGUGGUGGUUUGUCUCUCUACAGUUACCACUCCUGUUGCGUGCUCCCUCCCCUUUGGGCUAGUGCUCAAUGAUCUCUAGUAAUAAAACUUUCUCCCCUUCUCCCUUCACUCUGAGGGGUAGGAGCAAAUAACUUUCACUUCCAUCUUUAUGUUCCUCAGCAUCUCCUAUUAGUCCUAACUGCAACCACACUGCAAAGUGAUUCUUUUAUUAUAAUCUCUAUAUUUGAACUUUUUGAGCUGAAGUUUUCUGCUGGGAUUAUGACUGACCCUUCACAGUACAGCCAAAAUCUAUUUGUAGUUUUCAGUUGAUCACUCUGGCUGUUGUGACGAAAAUGGAUUGGAUCAGAGAGAGUGAGAGUGAUGCCAGGAGAUGGAGAAAACUGGACCAUCUAUUUGGGAAGGAAAAGGCAAGAUUUGGUUGUUGAUGAGAUACAGAGGUGAAUAAAAGGGAAGAUUCAACAAUAGCUCUGCUCAGUAAUCAAAAGAAACAAAGACUGGUUUAAAGGAAUCAGACAAUGAACAUGUACCAAAAUUGCUUACAAUACUGAUAAGGAUGACUGGAAACAUCUUAGGCCUUUCUUCUAGUCCAUAUCUGCAAACUUUUUAUAUCUUGAAUCCUGCAAGUUUUAAAACUAGGCCCCCAAAAAACUUAAAAAUAACAAUUUAGCAUCAGGCAAUAUUUGCAGAAUAGCUUUAUACAAGGCACUCUAGAAGAUAAUAAAAGGAGUCAUCAAAGAAGAAUGGUUGAGAACCUGGGUUCUGAAAGCAGACUACCUUGGUUUAAUUAAUAGCCACAGCUUUACAGAAAAGAAGAGAAGGAAGGAAGGGAGAAAAGAGUAAGCAACAGGGAGGGUGAUGGGAUAAUCUUGCUUAUCCUUUUCUUCCUUCCUAAACAUACAAUGUCCCCUCUUCCUUUUCUGGAAACCUAUCUCUCUGGCACAUAUUUAUAUGUAAAGUUGUAGUUCAAAUGAUAAAUGAUCUGGAGCGAUUUUUAGGAAAUAGCGUAAUAAGAAACAGUGUUUUGAAUUUUGAGGGCUGUGAAGUGUUCUGAAGUGAUUUUGGAAUAGCUAAAAUAAGCUAACUUACUGAGCUCUUUUUGUAUUGGGCACU